RNAcentral lists this unclassified non-coding RNA (312 nucleotides) under fungal sp. RNAcentral describes it as "partial internal transcribed spacer region". The stretch from base 1 to 46 matches the Rfam family "Eukaryotic small subunit ribosomal RNA", at positions 1786 to 1831 of the family's 1831-position model. Lineage: Eukaryota; Fungi. The record is from RNAcentral.
AAGUCGUAACAAGGUCUCCGUAGGUGAACCUGCGGAGGGAUCAUUAACACUUUACAAAAGGCAAAGUAGACUACUGCACCUAGUGUAACUAGUCUCACUUUACUUUUUAACCAACUCGUGAACGAAACUGUAUGUCCUACCUCCUUAGCUGUUCAUUCGAUCAGCUAGGUGUGUUUUUAUACUGUAUCUAUUGUUUUAUUACAAACCAUAAUACCAACAGUUGUAACAAAGGUCAUAGCAUUAAAUUGCUAUGUACUUGUAACUAUAACAAAAAUGUAAGCACAACUCUUAGCAACGGAUAUCUCGGUUCUC